GGCGAGUGAGCGGCAAAAGCUCAAAUUUGAAAUCUGGUACCUUUGGUGCCCGAGUUGUAAUUUGGAGAGUACCACUUUGGGACUGUACUUUGCCUAUGUUCCUUGGAACAGGACGUCAUGGAGGGUGAGAAUCCCGUGUGGCGAGGGUGUCAGUUCUUUGUAAAGGGUGCUCGAAGAGUCGAGUUGUUUGGGAAUGCAGCUCUAAGUGGGUGGUAAAUUCCAUCUAAAGCUAAAUACAGGCGAGAGACCGAUAGCGAACAAGUACAGUGAUGGAAAGAUGAAAAGAACUUUGAAAAGAGAGUGAAAAAGUACGUGAAAUUGUUGAAAGGGAAGGGCAUUUGAUCAGACAUGGUGUUUUGCGCCCCUUGCCUCUCGUGGGCUUGGGACUCUCGCAGCUCACUGGGCCAGCAUCGGUUUUGGCGGCCGGAAAAAACCUAGGGAAUGUGGCUCUGCGCCUCGGUGUAGAGUGUUAUAGCCCUGGGGAAUACGGCCAGCCGGGACCGAGGACUGCGAUACUUGUUAUCUAGGAUGCUGGCAUAAUGGUUAUAUGCCGCCCGU
Molecule: ribosomal RNA, 558 nt
Filed under: Nakaseomyces glabratus
Lineage: Eukaryota; Fungi; Ascomycota; Saccharomycetes; Saccharomycetales; Saccharomycetaceae
Description: [Candida] glabrata partial large subunit ribosomal RNA
Rfam family: Eukaryotic large subunit ribosomal RNA
Source: RNAcentral